Molecule: ribosomal RNA, 446 nt
Filed under: uncultured bacterium
Lineage: Bacteria
Description: partial 16S ribosomal RNA
Rfam family: Bacterial small subunit ribosomal RNA
Source: RNAcentral
CCUACGGGAGACAGCAGUAGGGAAUUUUCGGCAAUGGGGGGAACCCUGACCGAGCAACGCCGCGUGAACGAAGAAGUUAUUCGUAAUGUAAAGUUCUUUUAACAGGGAAGAAAGAGAAAUUUGACGGUACCUGAAGAAUAAGCUCCGGCUAACUACGUGCCAGCAGCCGCGGUAAUACGUAGGGAGCGUGCGUUAUCCGAAUUUAUUGGGCGAAAGGGGUGGGUAGAUGGCAUAGUAAGUCUUUUGUAAAAAUGCUGGGCUCAACCCAGUAGGGCAAAGGUAACUGGAAAGCUAGAGUAUGAGAGAGGCAAGUGGAACUACCUGUGUAGCGGUAAAAUGCGUAGAUAUAAGGAAGAACACCAGUGGCGAAGGCGGCUUGCUGGGUCGAUACUGACAUUGAGGCACGAAAGCGUGGGGAGCAAACAGGAUUAGAUACCCUAGUAGUC